GACGAACGCUGGCGGCGUGCUUAACACAUGCAAGUCGAACGGAAAGGCCCUGCUUUUGUGGGGUGCUCGAGUGGCGAACGGGUGAGUAACACGUGAGUAACCUGCCCUUGACUUUGGGAUAACUUCAGGAAACUGGGGCUAAUACCGGAUAGGAGCUCCUGCUGCAUGGUGGGGGUUGGAAAGUUUCGGCGGUUGGGGAUGGACUCGCGGCUUAUCAGCUUGUUGGUGGGGUAGUGGCUUACCAAGGCUUUGACGGGUAGCCGGCCUGAGAGGGUGACCGGCCACAUUGGGACUGAGAUACGGGCCAGACUCCUACGGGAGGAAGCAGUGGGGAAUAUUGCAAAAAGGGCGGAAGGCUGAUGCAGCAACGCCGCGUGCGGGAUGACGGCCUUCGGGUUGGAAACCGCUUUCGCCUGUGACGAAGAGUGAGUGACGGUAAUGGGUAAAGAAGCACCGGCUAACUACGUG
This 468-nucleotide ribosomal RNA is filed under the name uncultured bacterium. RNAcentral's name for it is "partial 16S ribosomal RNA". It matches the Rfam family "Bacterial small subunit ribosomal RNA", at positions 28 to 507 of the family's 1533-position model. The record is from RNAcentral.